Molecule: ribosomal RNA, 298 nt
Filed under: uncultured Desulfocapsa sp.
Lineage: Bacteria; Pseudomonadati; Thermodesulfobacteriota; Desulfobulbia; Desulfobulbales; Desulfocapsaceae
Description: partial 16S ribosomal RNA
Rfam family: Bacterial small subunit ribosomal RNA
Source: RNAcentral
GCAACGACGCGCCUAAACCUUGUUCUUUAGUUGCCAUCAUUAAGUUGGGCACUCUAAGAGACUGCCGGUGUACAAACCGGAGGAAGGUGGGGAUGACGUCAAGUCCUCAUGGCCUUUAUGACCAGGGCUACACACGUACUACAAUGGCAGGUACAAAGGGCAGCCACUUAGCGAUAAGGCGCGAAUCCCGUAAAACCUGUCUCAGUCCGGAUUGGAGUCUGCAACUCGACUCCAUGAAGUUGGAAUCGCUAGUAAUCGCAGAUCAGCACGCUCGCGGUCGAAUACGUUCCCGGGCCUU